GUUUUAAAAAGUAUAAUUCUUUAAAAAGAUAUUAGCUUGCAAGAACAUGUAAUAAAUAACUUCAAAAUGCAAAGGGUAUUUGAUUUUAAAGCAUGCCUUUGCCAUUUACAUAAAACGCUUUUUGUGCUCCUUCAAUAGAAACUUACCUGGCCACUGGGUAAAGC
Molecule: long non-coding RNA, 164 nt
Organism: Myotis davidii
Lineage: Eukaryota; Metazoa; Chordata; Mammalia; Chiroptera; Vespertilionidae
Exons: 3
Source: RefSeq, a predicted model, not a curated record